Molecule: ribosomal RNA, 1345 nt
Filed under: uncultured bacterium
Lineage: Bacteria
Description: partial 16S ribosomal RNA
Rfam family: Bacterial small subunit ribosomal RNA
Source: RNAcentral
GACGAACGCUGGCGGCGUGCUUAACACAUGCAAGUCGAACGGAAAGGCCCUGCUUUUGUGGGGUGCUCGAGUGGCGAACGGGUGAGUAACACGUGAGUAACCUGCCCUUGACUUUGGGAUAACUUCAGGAAACUGGGGCUAAUACCGGAUAGGAGCUCCUGCUGCAUGGUGGGGGUUGGAAAGUUUCGGCGGUUGGGGAUGGACUCGCGGCUUAUCAGCUUGUUGGUGGGGUAGUGGCUUACCAAGGCUUUGACGGGUAGCCGGCCUGAGAGGGUGACCGGCCACAUUGGGACUGAGAUACGGCCCAGACUCCUACGGGAGGCAGCAGUGGGGAAUAUUGCACAAUGGGCGGAAGCCUGAUGCAGCAACGCCGCGUGCGGGAUGACGGCCUUCGGGUUGUAAACCGCUUUCGCCUGUGACGAAGCGUGAGUGACGGUAAUGGGUAAAGAAGCACCGGCUAACUACGUGCCAGCAGCCGCGGUGAUACGUAGGGUGCGAGCGUUGUCCGGAUUUAUUGGGCGUAAAGGGCUCGUAGGUGGUUGAUCGCGUCGGAAGUGUAAUCUUGGGGCUUAACCCUGAGCGUGCUUUCGAUACGGGUUGACUUGAGGAAGGUAGGGGAGAAUGGAAUCCCUGGUGGAGCGGUGGAAUGCGCAGAUAUCAGGAGGAACACCAGUGGCGAAGGCGGUUCUCUGGGCCUUUCCUGACGCUGAGGAGCGAAAGCGUGGGGAGCGAACAGGCUUAGAUACCCUGGUAGUCCACGCUGUAAACGGUGGGUACUAGGUGUGGGGUCCAUUCCACGGGUUCCGUGCCGUAGCUAACGCUUUAAGUACCCCGCCUGGGGAGUACGGCCGCAAGGCUAAAACUCAAAGGAAUUGACGGGGCCCCGCACAAGCGGCGGAGCAUGCGGAUUAAUUCGAUGCAACGCGUAGAACCUUACCUGGGUUUGACAUGGAUCGGGAGUGCUCAGAGAUGGGUGUGCCUCUUUUGGGGUCGGUUCACAGGUGGUGCAUGGCUGUCGUCAGCUCGUGUCGUGAGAUGUUGGGUUAAGUCCCGCAACGAGCGCAACCCUUGUUCACUGUUGCCAGCACGUUAUGGUGGGGACUCAGUGGAGACCGCCGGGGUCAACUCGGAGGAAGGUGGGGAUGACGUCAAGUCAUCAUGCCCCUUAUGUCCAGGGCUUCACGCAUGCUACAAUGGCUGGUACAGAGAGUGGCGAGCCUGUGAGGGUGAGCGAAUCUCGGAAAGCCGGUCUCAGUUCGGAUUGGGGUCUGCAACUCGACCUCAUGAAGUCGGAGCCGCUAGUAAUCGCAGAUCAGCAACGCUGCGGUGAAUACGUUCCCGGGGC